GAUGAACGCUGGCGGCGUGCCUAAUACAUGCAAGUCGAGCGAACAGAUGAGGAGCUUGCUCCUCUGACGUUAGCGGCGGACGGGUGAGUAACACGUGGAUAACCUACCUAUAAGACUGGGAUAACUUCGGGAAACCGGAGCUAAUACCGGAUAAUAUAUUGAACCGCAUGGUUCAAUAGUGAAAGACGGUUUUGCUGUCACUUAUAGAUGGAUCCGCGCCGCAUUAGCUAGUUGGUAAGGUAACGGCUUACCAAGGCAACGAUGCGUAGCCGACCUGAGAGGGUGAUCGGCCACACUGGAACUGAGACACGGUCCAGACUCCUACGGGAGGCAGCAGUAGGGAAUUUUCCGCAAUGGGCGAAAGCCUGACGGAGCAACGCCGCGUGAGUGAUGAAGGUCUUCGGAUCGUAAAACUCUGUUAUUAGGGAAGAACAAAUGUGUAAGUAACUAUGCACGUCUUGACGGUACCGUAUCAGAAAGCCACGGCUAACUACGUG
This 497-nucleotide ribosomal RNA is filed under the name uncultured bacterium. RNAcentral describes it as "partial 16S ribosomal RNA". It matches the Rfam family "Bacterial small subunit ribosomal RNA", at positions 28 to 507 of the family's 1533-position model. The record is from RNAcentral.